This 659-nucleotide long non-coding RNA is filed under the name Nicotiana benthamiana. Its description in RNAcentral is "long non-coding RNA (NBEN_LNC036967)". Lineage: Eukaryota; Viridiplantae; Streptophyta; Magnoliopsida; Solanales; Solanaceae. The record is from RNAcentral.
AUGAAUCUAGUGAAGACUAAUAACUACACAUACACAACCUAAUACACGAAAUACAACUAAACAAAUUCUGAGCUAUAAAGCUCCCUUUUUAUUCAUGCUUCGAACUUCAGCUACAUUGUGUACCACUGUAAUAGUUGUGUACCUGGUAUUUGGGGGAAAAAAGAAAGAGAUGAAGAUCAGUAUUACAAUAGCACAAGCACAGCAGAUUUAACAACAAACAGUUUCAGCAAAACCAGUAGAAAGAAUCCCAGGAAAGAUUGCAAAUUAGAUAGGAGGAAACCCAAGAGAUCAAUGUAACACUACUUGGACACAAAAUAACUCAGCAACACCCAAAUGAGUACCAGAAGCUAAACACUAACAGAAAACCAAGAACUUACACACCACAAAUCUAAUAACACGCACGAAUGCACUCACAGUUAGGUUUAGAGUUAGACAGAUGCAAAGAAUAGUGUUUCUAAUUGCCAACAGUCAAAGAAAACCAACUGAACUUUUAAGUAAAAACUCAUCUUAAAGUCACUCUUUAAUUCGGAAAUUUAGUUCAACUUUCAACCCCACCCUCUAUCUAUUUCUCUGAAAAUUCUUUUAACCUUUGUGAUUUUCAAAAGACUCUCUCAAAGAAGUUAUCAAAACAGUGAGGUUUUUGUUCUGUUUCUUUUUUG